UUAACUAAUUUAGCUAGUUUCUCAGACUGCAACUUCAGACAGUGUUCACAGGUGUCUUCGGCGGGCGCGGGCCCGGGGGCGGAUGCCCCCCGGCGGCCGUGAGGCGGGCCCGCCGAAGCAACAAGGUUCGUUAAACACGGGUGGGAGGUUGGACCCAGAGGGCCCUCACUCGGUAAUGAUCCUUCCGCAGGUUCACCUACGGAAA
RNAcentral lists this unclassified non-coding RNA (205 nucleotides) under uncultured fungus. RNAcentral describes it as "sequence contains ITS1". The record is from RNAcentral. Lineage: Eukaryota; Fungi.